Molecule: ribosomal RNA, 207 nt
Filed under: uncultured bacterium
Lineage: Bacteria
Description: partial 16S ribosomal RNA
Rfam family: Bacterial small subunit ribosomal RNA
Source: RNAcentral
CGCGUAGGCGGGUAAGUAAGUCAGAUGUGAAAUUCCGGGACUCAAUUCCGGAGCUGCAUUUGAAACUACUUGUCUUGAGGAUUGGCGGAGAGAACGGAAUUCCACGUGUAGCGGUGAAAUGCGUAGAUAUGUGGAAGAACACCGGUGGCGAAAGCGGUUCUCUAGCUAAUAACUGACGCUGAGGCGCGAGAGCAAGGGGAUCAAACA